UGCCAGGCAGUGCGGUUACACGAUUUAUAUAAAUUAAUUUUAUUAAUUUUUAAAUAAUUAUUUUAAUAAAUAUUUUAUUUAAUUUUAUUUAUUUGGUGAAAUAUUAAAUAAAUAAAUAUAAAAUUUUUAAAUUAAUUUAGUUUAAUAAAAAAUAUAAUAAACUAGAAUUAGAUACUCUAUUAUUAUUUAAUAAAAUAUAAAAUUAAGAUAUUAAAAAUUAAAUUUCUAAAUUUAAUAAAUUUGGCGGUAUUUUAACUAAUUAGAAAAAUUUGUUUUUAUAAUUUGAUAGUCCACAAAAAUAAUUACUUAAUAUUUAUACUUAUAUACUAUUGUUUUAAAAUUAAAUUUAAAAAUUUAAUUUAUAAUUAAUUUAUAAUUAAAAAAUUCAAAUCAAAGUAUAGUUUAUUAUUAAGAAAAAAUGAAUUUCAAUUCAAAAUAAAUAUUUAAUUAUUUAUUUAAUAGAAUUUAAAAGUAAAUUUAAUUAAAUUAAUUAAGUUGAAAAAGUUAUAAAAUAUGUACAAAUUGCCCGUCAUUCUUUAAUUUAAGACAAGUCGUAACAAAGUAAAUGUAUUGGAAAAUAUAUUUUGAAUUU
This 592-nucleotide ribosomal RNA is filed under the name Pselaphanus sp. QL-2013. RNAcentral describes it as "partial 12S ribosomal RNA". The record is from RNAcentral. Lineage: Eukaryota; Metazoa; Arthropoda; Insecta; Hymenoptera; Braconidae.